RNAcentral lists this ribosomal RNA (509 nucleotides) under Tylenchorhynchus teeni. RNAcentral describes it as "SSU rRNA". It matches the Rfam family "Eukaryotic small subunit ribosomal RNA", at positions 89 to 590 of the family's 1831-position model. Lineage: Eukaryota; Metazoa; Nematoda; Chromadorea; Rhabditida; Telotylenchidae. The record is from RNAcentral.
GCGAACGGCUCAAUAAUAACAAGUUAUAAUUUAGUUGAGUUUGGACAACCAUACUUAAAUUACCGGUGGUAAUUCUUAGAGCAAAUACCUGCACCAAAGCUCCGACCGCGAGGAAAAGAGCGCAUUUAUAAGAACAAACCCCCACGGCUUCGGCCGUCCAAUGUUGGCUCAGAAUAACUAAGCUGAUCGCAUGGUCUUGCACCGGCGACGUUUCUUUCAAGUAUCUGCCUUAUCAACUAUCGAUGGUAGUGUAUCUGACUACCAUGGUGAUGACGGGUAACGGAGGAUAAGGGUUCGACUCCAGAGAAAGGGGCCUGAGAAAUGACCACUACGUCUAAGGAUGGCAGCAGGCGCGCAAAUUACCCACUCUCAGUACGAGGAGGUAGUGACGAGAAAUAACAAGACCGUUCUCACAAGAGGCCGGUCAUUGGAAUGGGUACAAUUUAAACCCUUUAACGAGUAUCUAUGAGAGGGCAAGUCUGGUGCCAGCAGCCGCGGUAAUUCCAGCU